This 229-nucleotide ribosomal RNA is filed under the name uncultured bacterium. Its description in RNAcentral is "partial 16S ribosomal RNA". It matches the Rfam family "Bacterial small subunit ribosomal RNA", at positions 568 to 796 of the family's 1533-position model. The record is from RNAcentral.
UCCGUAGGUGGAUAAUUAAGUCAGGGGUGAAAGUCUGCAGCUCAACUGUAGAAUUGCCUUUGACACUGGUUAUCUUGAAUUAUUAUGAAGUAGUUAGAAUAUGUAGUGUAGCGGUGAAAUGCAUAGAUAUUACAUAGAAUACCAAUUGCGAAGGCAGAUUACUAAUAAUAUAUUGACACUGAUGGACGAAAGCGUGGGGAGCGAACAGGAUUAGAUACCCUGGUAGUCC